This 405-nucleotide ribosomal RNA is filed under the name uncultured bacterium. Its description in RNAcentral is "bacterial SSU rRNA". It matches the Rfam family "Bacterial small subunit ribosomal RNA", at positions 355 to 775 of the family's 1533-position model. The record is from RNAcentral.
UGGGGAAUAUUGGGCAAUGGGGGCAACCCUGACCCAGCGACGCCGCGUGGGGGAAGACGGCCUUCGGGUUGUAAACCUCUUUUGUACGGGAAGAAGGAAGUGACGGUACUGUACGAAUAAGUCCCGGCUAACUACGUGCCAGCAGCCGCGGUAAUACGUAGGGGACGAGCGUUGUCUGGAAUUACUGGGCGUAAAGGGCGCGCAGGCUGUGCUGCAAGUUAGCUGUUAAAUGUCUGGGCUUAACCCGGGCAUGCGGUUGAGACUGCGGUGCUGGAGUGCUGUAGAGGCAAGUGGAAUUCCCAGUGUAGCGGUGAAAUGCGUAGAUAUUGGGGAGAACACCGGUGGCGAAGGCGACUUGCUGGGCAGCAACUGACGCUGAGGCGCGAAAGCCAGGGGAGCAAACGG